GCUCUCUCUAUCAAUUCGCUUUUCGUGCUUCCAAUGACCGAGUAAAUCUACGAUUCUCUGUUCAUUCAUUUCAUAGAAAUUCACGUUUAACUCUCUGCGUGCUCCUUGAUCCAUUUGAGUUCACUAAUGGAAUCGAAGAACGGAAUUUUAGAAUUAGGUUAUGUUGUGAGGGAGUUUUGCAAACAGGGCAUUAAGCCAGGGGAGUUGGCUAUCAUUUCCAAAGAAGUGGUUGGGAGUGUGAUAAAGAGUCCAGAAAUAUCUGGUCUUGUUCCUACUCUACUUAAGGGACUUUGUCAUCCUAAAGAGCAUACAAAAUAUUCCCUUAAUAUUCUUCUUCAAGUAAGUUGUGGUAUCACUUGCUAAACAAUGGGCAUUUGAAGAACCUUCUGUGGAGACAAUAACUGGUGAAAAUGUUUUGACAUAGCCACAUGUGAAAUGGCCUCUAUCAAGUUCCUCAACUUGACUUGCACGGGAAUAUGCUUGAAGAUCCCAAUGGCCGAGGGGCGUACGUUGUGUGCUCUUCCGAACGUUAAAUACGUGCUCUUUCGAACGUUAAAUAUGUGUUCAUCAUUUAUAUAAUAAUUUGGGCCCAGGUAGUGAUGAGCAUCUUGAAAGGAAGAUUCUAGAUCCUGAGCGCUUGAGUAGGGUGGAAUCAAUUUUUGGCAAUCUUUCAGAAACCAUCAAAAUAUAUGGUCCUUGGUCUUCUGCAUGGGUAGGAGAAGCUAGAGGGGUCAUACAACAGUGGUGGCAAUCAUGUUUCUAACAGAUUUCUAAACAGCUUUUGGUACUUAGAUCAACUUGGAAUAGCAUCCUGCUACAACACUAAAGUCUAUUGCAGGCAGACUUUAAUUGGAGGGAAUUAUGGCCUUCUCAAUGCCACCACCUUUGCUCCCAAUCCUGACUACUACAGUGCAGUUUUGUGGCAUCGGUUAAUGGGAAAGAAGGUUCUUGCAGUCUCAAGUGAUGUUCAUAUUAAAGACUUUUACCUACAGUUAGAAAAUGUAAGUAGAAGUUAAUAACUUUUACCUACAAUUGAAGGUAAUAGAUACAUAUUAAAGACUUUUACCUACAGUUAAAAAAUGUAAGUAGAAGUUAAUGACUUUUACCUACACACUAUACAUAGUGGGUAAAACCUAUAGUGACAGACAAUUAACCGUCAUUAUACGCUCCCUCAAAGUUGACAGAAGAAACUUCGUAGGACAAAGUCUAUCAUACAUUUACCUACAGAUUUUUUAUUUAUAGUGACAGUUUU
This is an RNA transcript of Glycine soja, 1252 nucleotides long. It is a transcript of the gene named monodehydroascorbate reductase 3, cytosolic-like, with no coding region annotated. Lineage: Eukaryota; Viridiplantae; Streptophyta; Magnoliopsida; Fabales; Fabaceae. The transcript is spliced from 10 exons. The record is from RefSeq and is a predicted model, not a curated record.